RNAcentral lists this ribosomal RNA (408 nucleotides) under uncultured bacterium. RNAcentral describes it as "bacterial SSU rRNA". It matches the Rfam family "Bacterial small subunit ribosomal RNA", at positions 917 to 1341 of the family's 1533-position model. The record is from RNAcentral.
GGGCUCACACAAGCGGUGGAGCAUGUGGCUUAAUUCGAGGCAACGCGAAGAACCUUAUCCUGGGUUUGACAUGUACGGAUGGCUCGCCUGAAAGGGAUGAGUCUGCCUUCGGGUGAAACGUACACAGGUGCUGCAUGGCUGUCGUCAGCUCGUGUCGUGAGAUGUUCGGUUAAGUCCGGCAACGAGCGCAACCCACAUCCCUAGUUGCCAGCAGUUCGGCUGGGCACUCUAUGGAAACUGCCCGUGAUAAGCGGGAGGAAGGUGUGGAUGACGUCAAGUCCUCAUGGCCCUUACGGGUUGGGCUACACACGUGCUACAAUGGUGGUGACAAUGGGUUAAUCCCAAAAAGCCAUCUCAGUUCGGAUUGGGGUCUGCAACUCGACCCCAUGAAGUCGGAAUCGCUAGUAA